This is a non-coding RNA of Myodes glareolus (Bank vole), 1483 nucleotides long. The record is from RefSeq and is a predicted model, not a curated record. Lineage: Eukaryota; Metazoa; Chordata; Mammalia; Rodentia; Cricetidae.
CAUAACUUGUUCUUAAUAUUCCUUUAUAGUUUCAUUUUAAGCAAGAUUCUUGAAAAGAUGAUGACGCCACAUUUAAAGGAAGGUCCUUUUCAAUCAUCUUAUAUUCCAUACCCUCCUCUCCUCCAACCUGUACUUUGUCUCCUGAUGAAAGUAUCAGAGGUAGGAGAAAGACUGGAAGGAUAGAAUGAAGAUGGGGACCUGGCCUAACGGAAACCAGGAAGGAUAGUCAGACAAUUUUGAGUAAGGAUUUGCUCUUCAACUGGGUGAAUAAGGGGUGAGAUUUAGAUGCACUAUCUGCAAGGCACUGGUUACCUUCUAGAUAACCACUCCCAGAUACCAAAGGGAAGCUUAAAACAGAGAAUUAUGCCCUCAAAUGCACUACUUCCUAAAUCUCCACAUCCCCAGUUUUCCUUGGAGUCAACAUCUGAAACUAAUGAGUCCAGUCUUCGAGCAGCCAUUUCCAGGAGCCCUGCUUGCUGUCAGUAGAGAACGGUAUUAGAAAGAUCUGAGUACCGACUAUGCCCCUCACGAUGACUGUAAGGCAGAGGUGUAGCGAUCGAUAACAGUGAACACAGUGGAGAGAUGCAAUGAUUGUGGACCAAGACUUUAGAGGAAUGUUUGUGGCUGUGCAGCAUUCAGGACACAUCAUUUACCUCCACAUGUAACUAAACUUAAGGGGAAGUAUUUUUUUGUGACAUAAACGUUAAAAUCCAGAAUCAUUCAUAUUGAAUUAUUUGCUGAAUUCUGUUGGGCUAAUAAUUGGCACAACCAAGAUUAGAAUCUUUUUGAUGGCAAAGUUCAGUUUGUCAGGCCAUAUUGCACCUAGGAAGAUUUCAGGAUUUAUGGCAAAGCAAACAGAACAAGAAUGAGAGCAACAGGAAUGUGUUUGUCAGGAACUCUGUACUGAGGACUAAACUUUGAGCAAUGACACGCCAGGGUUAGCACUGUUUGCGGUCAGCAUACAAACUGGGGUUCAAAGCUCCUCUUUAUCUUUCCUUGCAGCAUUUGCUGUCUGUCUCUGGUUUUGCUUUCCUCGGCAGUUUCUCAUCCACUCCCACAGCUAUGGUCACCCUCUGGAAGCUAGAGCCAUCCCAAUAUCCUUCCCCCUUGCAGUUCCGGGGAUAGAAAGUAUGCCAAUGCCCAUUGCCAAUUUCUUCAAACUGAAAAACCGGGUGCUGUGCCCACUAUACUCCUGAGAGUGAAAAACAAAUCUCUCUCUCUCUCCCCCCUCUCUCUCUUUUCAAUAUACGUGAACAUGGCUUUUGAGUUUGCCUGUGCCUCCUUCAUAUUCCCAUCAGCAAUACUCUCACCCAUGAGUCUUAUUGGACUGCACAUUCCAGUAGUUUCUUAGCUGGUCUUGUCCCCUUUGACAACAGUAGAGACAUUUUCAAAACGCAAAGAUGAUUUUUGUCAGCUUCCCUUUGUAGUCUUUCCAUUGUCUUAAGAUGAAGUGUAAAUGGGAUAAGGUCCCUGAGAUAUGGCU